Molecule: long non-coding RNA, 420 nt
Filed under: Mytilus galloprovincialis (Mediterranean mussel)
Lineage: Eukaryota; Metazoa; Mollusca; Bivalvia; Mytilida; Mytilidae
Source: RNAcentral
CUGGUCCGGUCAUUGUCGAUGUUGGUCCUGUCAAUCAGCGAUGGUCAUGUCACGUUUUCGAAAGUUUUUGAAAAUAAAUCUAUAUUUUUUAUAACAUUUUGGUUUCAAAAUAUGACAUACCAUUUUAUAUUUCAAAUCUGAAAUAAUUCCUUUGAAAAACAAAAAAGUUAUUAGCAUUUUUAUUUGGUCCUGUCAUUCUCGAUGUUGGUCCUGUCAUUAUCAAAGUUGGUCAUGUCACAUUUUCUAAAGUUUCUUACAAAACUUUUUAUUUUUUUUUCUUAAAUCUUUUUAUCAAAUGAUGAAAUCUUAUUAUAUUUCAAAUUUGAGAUCAAUCCUUUGAGAAAUGAAAAAGUUAUUAGCAUUUUUCAUUUGGUCCUGUCAUUCGGUCCUGUCAUUCGGUCCAGUCAUUAGUGUAACCCA